Non-coding RNA from Peromyscus maniculatus bairdii (prairie deer mouse), 629 nucleotides. The record is from RefSeq and is a predicted model, not a curated record. NCBI's taxonomy places the organism in Eukaryota, Metazoa, Chordata, Mammalia, Rodentia, Cricetidae.
UAAGUCUUGGCAAAUACCAGAAAGAGAAAGGCGUGCCCCCCUUUUCUGUAUUUUAUCAGCAACAAGUCCAAGGACCUGUAUUUCCUGGUUCUCUAACUUCUCACCUGCUGCAUCCUGCUCCAGCUGAUCCCUGGGCUUUGCAGAGUAUAGCUACUUGCUGGACUGCCUGCCGGGCAGUGAGCAUGCCCUGGCAUGGACAGAUGGGAGACUCCACCACAACACCUCCUGAUAGUUGCCACAGAACUGGGACCAGGGGCCCUAGACAGAAAAUGCUCAUAAACAACGGAAAAUCACCGUUUACCUAUGAGAAUCCAAGACAUCGUGGCUCACAGAAGUGCCUGGUCAUUUAAGUUUUGUUGUUGCCAGAUGCCAGGAGAUAGUCAAGGCAACUGAAACAGUCACUACCUCUGAGCAGGCUCCUCUGAUCCCUUUCAGUGGGCGGAGCCUUGGCACCAUCCCUCCGCCUGACAUUGCCUCACAGCCUCUCCGAGACACCUCAGACCCCACUGCUCCGAAGCUUCUCAGUCGUCUUUCCUCGGCUGCUCUUUGAAGUAUUCCUCAGGUGGAGCUCAGAGUUCAUAAAUAUUCGUUGGAGAAAUAAACCAGGAGAAAUCUGUUCUGUAACAUCA